UUCCGGAUCUCUUUGAAAACAAAUUAUUUUACCAAUACGACCACAAUGAAAGCCCAACAAAUUGCCACAUCUUUAACAUUGAAAAAUAUGCGAAAAUUGUUAAUACUUUAAGAGGAUGAAAUAAUUUAUUAUCUUUAUUCAAACAAACAAGACAUUCACAAAAACACACACAAUCAUUUACAUUUUUUCUCCUAUAACAUCAACUUUACUUUAUAUUUACAUUUCAAGUGAAUUUACUAUGUUACGACUAUCAGCUUUCUAUUAUAUUUUUAUUGAAUCAA
RNAcentral lists this long non-coding RNA (281 nucleotides) under Brassica napus (rape). RNAcentral describes it as "long non-coding RNA (BNAP_LNC026624)". Lineage: Eukaryota; Viridiplantae; Streptophyta; Magnoliopsida; Brassicales; Brassicaceae. The record is from RNAcentral.